AAUACACAAACAACUAGUUGAAGUAACUUUCUUGAAUAUUUUUUUUACUUGUUCACAAUCAGAUAAAAUCUUUAAAUCAAAAAUCAGCAAUUGGAAAAAUUACCAGAAAAUGGAAAGGAAUGGCAACAGAAGCUGUAUCAGAUGCCAGCAACUUCAUAAUCCAAUUCCCAAUGGAUCUUGAGGUUAAAACGAAAACCCUUGUGCUUGGAGCUUGCUUCCUACUGGAUUUCUUGUUUUUUGAACAAUCUGGACCAAGGCCCCGCGAUCAGAGAUAACCAGAUGUAUACCAUUUUUCCUGACUUCAGAAAAAAUUCAAUACUACUGCUUUUGUUUCUUAUCUAGCGGUUAAUCCAGUGGUGAGAUUCAAAAAUUUUCACUACAAGUUUGGUGGGCAUGGCUAGGUGGGUGCCAUGUGACUGAGUGGGUGUGACUAACAUGACAUCACUCAUGCCCAUUCCCACUAAGUCACAUGCCCCCUCACCUAGCCACACCCACAGGAAAAGGUAGGGACCUUUUUUGGAUUUUUAGGUAUCUACCCUGGCCCUCUCUUCACUAGUUACCCCAUUUCCCCAUUUCCUCCCCCCCCACCUCUUUGGUUGCUUACCAUUCAGGGUGGCUGGUCCAGUCCAGAAGGCAAGCUGACUGGAUUUUUUGGCACCCCCCCCCCCCCCCCCAGCCAGCCACCGCUGCUGGGAAGUGGCUGGCUGGCAAAGAAGCCUCCCACCUGCCGCCUCUUUGCAUACUGGCAGACUUGCAAGGCAAUGGGAUACGCAUGCACGAAGAAGAUGGUGGCAAUAGGAUCUGCUUUUUCGCUGACUGGUGGAUUUUUCAGCGGCCUGUGACCAGCUGCCGGCCUCUUUGAGAGCCAGUAUGCAAAGAAGCAACACAAGCGAGUGAUGAGCGGAUGGGCAAGGUGAGCAACUGGCAACAGGGGGAUUGGUUCGGGGGCAUGGCUAGCCAGCCAUUGCUACCAGUUCGCUGAACUGGGCAUAAUUUCUGCCACCAAUUUGGGCAAACUGGUGCGAACUGGCUGAAUACCACCUCCGGGUUAAUCUAUCACUUGCUUAUAUACAGUACCCUCAUAUUAUGCAAGCAAACAGAUUGUGGACUCUUAUGACACAAGAAGUGUUACUCUACAAUGGUGUUUCACAGCCCUGGCAACUUUAAAAUAUACGGAUUUCAACUCCCAGAAUUUUCCAGCCAUAUUACCUGAAGAAUUCUAUGAGUUGAAAUCCAUGCACCUUAAAGUUGCUAAGCUGAGAAACACUGCUUUAGAAUAUAUAAUAUAUUAUCAAGACUCUUUUACAACUGCUCAUAGUACUUCUAGAGGAACUCUAAUGAUAUUUCCAGAUGAAACAUCAUACAACUAACUAGAAACUAUAGAAAGAACAAUUUCCUUUUCUUUGGUGCCUUGAUGGAUAUCAACAUUUUAGAGUGGGAGAUGGAAAGUGGGGAGGGAGGGAUGGAGAGGAUUAUAUUUUAUAGCUGUCAAAAAUAAUGUAAGUGUAAACAAUUCAUUUUGGUUAAGUAUAAUUCAAAUAAAAAGCUGAAUAAUAAUAAUUCCACUGUAAUAUAUAUUGGCUUUCAAAUACUUGUAAGAUUCAAUAAAACAUUUCAGCACUUUUCUUUAUUCACUACAUGGGUGAAUAAAAAUAAACUGAUUUAAUGUA
Molecule: non-coding RNA, 1670 nt
Organism: Thamnophis sirtalis
Lineage: Eukaryota; Metazoa; Chordata; Lepidosauria; Squamata; Natricidae
Source: RefSeq, a predicted model, not a curated record